AGAGUUUGAUCAUGGCUCAGGACGAACGCUGACGGUGUGCUUUAGGCAUGCAAGUCGAACGAGAAAGCCCUUCGGGGUGAGUAAAGUGGCGAACGGGUGAGUAACACGUGGGCAACCUGCCCCUCGCAGGGGGACAACCGGAGGAAACUCCGGCUAAUACCCCGUACGCUUGUUGGAUCGCAUGGUCCGGCAAGGAAAGGUAGCUUCGGCCAUCCGGCGAGGGAUGGGCCCGCGUUGCAUUAGCUAGUUGGUGGGGUAACGGCCUACCAAGGCGACGAUGCGUAGCUGGUCUGAGAGGAUGAUCAGCCACACUGGGACUGAGACACGGCCCAGACUCCUACGGGAGGCAGCAGCCAGGAAUCUUGGGCAAUGGGCGAAAGCCUGACCCAGCAACACCGUGUGGGCGAUGAAGGCCUUAGGGUCGUAAAGCCCUGUUGAUAGGGACGAAGGGCGAAGGGUUAAUAGCCCCUAGCUUGACGGUACCUUUCGAGGAAGCCCCGGCUAACUACGUGCCAGCAGCCGCGGUAAUACGUAGGGGGCGAGCGUUGUCCGGAAUUAUUGGGCGUAAAGAGCGUGUAGGCGGUUCGGUAAGUCUGCUGUGAAAUCCUGGGGCUCAACCCUGGGCGUGCAGCGGAUACUGCCGGGCUAGAGGGUGGUAGAGGCGAGUGGAAUUCCGAGUGUAGCGGUGAAAUGCGCAGAUAUUCGGAGGAACACCAGUAGCGAAGGCGGCUCGCUGGGCCACACCUGACGCUGAGACGCGAAAGCGUGGGGAGCGAACAGGAUUAGAUACCCCGGUAGUCC
RNAcentral lists this ribosomal RNA (801 nucleotides) under uncultured Rubrobacter sp. RNAcentral describes it as "bacterial SSU rRNA". It matches the Rfam family "Bacterial small subunit ribosomal RNA", at positions 8 to 796 of the family's 1533-position model. The record is from RNAcentral. Lineage: Bacteria; Bacillati; Actinomycetota; Rubrobacteria; Rubrobacterales; Rubrobacteraceae.